This is a long non-coding RNA of Syngnathus acus (greater pipefish), 369 nucleotides long. RefSeq lists it as uncharacterized. Lineage: Eukaryota; Metazoa; Chordata; Actinopteri; Syngnathiformes; Syngnathidae. The record is from RefSeq and is a predicted model, not a curated record. The transcript has 2 exons.
GAGCCACUCGAGUGCUCGGGGCCCACUGGGCGACGAGUAGCAGACAUGCUCGCCUAUUCAAGGCGCAGUGUUCCUCGCCUACGCGCUGCUACGACAUUUCCAUACACCGGUGGAGACAGUAUUCCCGAAAGAGUGCAGCGAGGACUCAGCUACCAAUAAAAAGCCAACAUAGGGUAUAUCCUUAUUUCUGCACGGCAAGGAGAGGAGAGAAGGGAAAAAAAAACCUUGCUAGCAAUCAAUCAGCAAAUGAAAUAGGAGGAAUUCGAGUGUAAGGCCCCCGUGUAGAUUUGGGAGCUAAACAGUAGAAUAUUUGGUUUGGGGAGGAGGGGGGAGCUUUAUGAUGACAAAUAAAGGCACUGCCCUGCAAGA